Acanthopagrus latus (yellowfin seabream) is the source of this 850-nucleotide long non-coding RNA. RefSeq lists it as uncharacterized. The transcript has 3 exons. Lineage: Eukaryota; Metazoa; Chordata; Actinopteri; Spariformes; Sparidae. The record is from RefSeq and is a predicted model, not a curated record.
ACGUCCUCAGCGUGAGUUCUCUGUGUGCAGUAGGUUCGCGAAUCAUGAACGAAUCACAGCGCGAACGAGAAUCACGUCCUGACAGUUCUUCUGAGUGAGUCGCGGCAGUUCCACUCCCGGCCGACAUGCUCGCAGCCGCUGGCAUGCUAGCAGGAGCUAGGCUAGCGGUACGGCCAUUGUCGAGAGGAGGCCUGCGCUGACGGGAGGAGCUUUGCCGGGUCGCCGACGGAGGGCUCUUCGCUGCCGCAGAAGGACAUGGAGGUUUAUCGCUGCGAGCAUUUUGUUUUCACAGAGUAAUCUCGCCUCAUAACAAGGCCGCGACCUCCCAUUAGCUCGGAGCUAACGUUAUGUCUGCGAGUCCUGAUUUACAUUAUGCCAAUGAUGACGCCAUUGUGUCUGUUUGUAAGACAUUACGAGUCAGUACGCAGGACAACAAGCAGAUCGCAGCAUCGCAGGCAGAAGCUGUAAGGAGUUAAGCUCGGAGUCGAUCGAGAAGAAAGAGGCUGAUUGAAGCGAGACAGAGUGCUAGCUUAGGAUGAGGUGGACAUUUGGAAGUGCGCCGCCAUAGACUUGAUGUCUGAAGAGGAAGACGGCACAAUAUGGCGGGGUGUCUGGAUGGAUUGUGCGACCUCCGUCCUUUCGCAGCCGAGAGCCACGCUGCAGUCACAUGAGAGGCGAUUCCGAAGUUCAGGGCAGCGCACCACAGACAUCUGCAAAAACAGACACUUCGUGGUGCUGUAGGAUUUUGGGCUUCUCCUGAGCUUCCCGUUUGUUGUGUGGGAAGAUUGUGCCUUGUACAUAGUUGUGAUGUGAUUGUGUUUGUGCUAAUAAAGCUCUUUCUUUGAACAAA